Molecule: ribosomal RNA, 517 nt
Filed under: uncultured bacterium
Lineage: Bacteria
Description: partial 16S ribosomal RNA
Rfam family: Bacterial small subunit ribosomal RNA
Source: RNAcentral
AACGAACGCUGGCGGCGUGCUUAACACAUGCAAGUCGAACGAGAAAGUGUAGCAAUACAUGAGUAAAGUGGCGCACGGGUCCGUAACACGUGGGUAAUCUACCUCCAGGCGAGGAACAACCUGUCGAAAGACGGGCUAAUACCUCAUAAGACCACGAGAACGAAAGUUCUUGAGGUCAAAGGUGGCCUCUAUUUACAAGCUAUCACCUGUAGAUGAGCCCGCGCACCAUCAGCUUGUUGGUGAGGUAAAAGCUCACCAAGGCCUAGACGGUUAGCUGGUCUGAGAGGACGACCAGCGACACUGGAACUGAGACACGGUCCAGACUCCUACGGGAGGCAGCAGUGGGGAAUUUUGGACAAUGGGCGAAAGCCUGAUCCAGCAACGCCGCGUGAGUGAUGAAGGCCUUCGGGUUGUAAAGCUCUGUCGGAGGGAACGAAUAAAGGCCACCUAAUACGUGGCCAUAUGACGGUACUCUCAAAGGAAGCAACGGCUAACUCUGUGCCAGCAGCCGCGGUAA